Bombus huntii is the source of this 1439-nucleotide long non-coding RNA. RefSeq lists it as uncharacterized. The transcript has 2 exons. NCBI's taxonomy places the organism in Eukaryota, Metazoa, Arthropoda, Insecta, Hymenoptera, Apidae. The record is from RefSeq and is a predicted model, not a curated record.
UUCGCAGCUAGAAAUAUUUGGAUGACAGUUGAAUUAUUUCGAUGGGUGCACAUAUUGAUAUUAUUAAUUUUUUUGUUGGUGAAGAAAGGAUAAACGUAAAACGGUAUUCUUAUGUUUACGUCAUCUUUGUCUUCCAUACAUUAAAUUUGACAAAUUAAAGUUAAGAUAUCUCCUAAUUUAAUGGUUUUUUUUUAGUAUAAAUAGAAUAUUCUUGCGUAAGGAAUGAUGAAUUGCGUUGAUUACUGGAUUAAAAAAAUACAUGAUUUCAUUUAAAAAAUCAAAGUUGACCAUCCUAAGCACUUGUCGCGUCCAUCCAUAAAAAAAACUAAUAGCAUCAGAACAUGCACCCUUCGAAACCAUCCCAUCAAAUCAUUUCCCGCUGCAAAUAAUAAUAAUGACAAAAAUCAAGAUGGUAAUUUCAGCAAUGCACAGAACGAACCACGCUGUAACGUGGCCGUAAGCUAAGCUGUAACCUGCAAGGCUGUAAUCUGUAACGGUACACAUACGCUACUAUGCUAUAUACAUAUCUAUAAAACCAGUUUGAGAUACUAGCGCUUCAACAGAUGGUGCAUCAAUUAAUAAUUUUAAUAUAUACUAUACUAUUUCUUAAUCAUAUGUAACACAGAAUAAUUCUUGUUCAUUAUUAUUUUAAACAAUGUAUUGGAAUUAUUGGAAGUUUCAUGUAACUUUAUAAAAUGUGAAAUUAUGUGACAAUAUUUCAUAAUUAAACUGUAGAUAUUUACGAACACGGCUAAAGAAAUAGGCUUUAAAUGGAGAUUCGUUUUUAUUAUUAAAAAUUAUAAUGAGUACUCUACUUUGGAUAUCUUAUAUAUUUUUGUAUAUUGUGCGUACUCUUUGUACCUUUAAAUUUUCCGUAAGUGUACAAAAAUCUGCAAAAACUCUGAUUAUUACCUAUAUUUUUACUAGUUCUGUCUAGGAAAAUAUUAAAUAGGCAAAAACAUAUUAUCAAUAGCACUUUAUUAUGUACCCAACAUUUUAUUCAAAAAUAAAUGCUUAAAACCUCAUAAAAAUUAAAUGUGAAAUACAGUUAAAUAUAACAUGCAAGUAAAAAUCUAUUGAAACAGGAUUUUAAAGAUAACAUUAAAUGUAGAUUAUAAUCUAUAUUAUAGUGAUUGUAAGUUUUUUAUUUUAAUGUUAUAUCUUAUUUUAUUAGACAUUUUAUCUAUUAUGUGUUCUAUAUAUAUGUGUAAUAUGUUUGUAUGAUUAGGAGAAUGAUAUACUUUUGCAUUAAUAUUUCAUACAUUUCUUGGAUUACAUUUCAUAGUUGCAGAAUACAUAGGUUGUUCAAUUGAUGCAAAAAUGUCAUCUAUAUAAUACCACAAUGUAUAUUUUGAUUUGCUAUCAUGAAAAUUUGUACAGAUUAAAAACAAAGAAGUUCCAAUAUAAAAGAAUAUCUGAAGAAUAAGAUUUAACGUUCA